CCAGCGAUUAGCCUGAGUUCCUUAAAUGACUCGGCUAGCAGCUUCCGGGAAACCAAAGUGUUUCGGUUCCGGGGGAAGUAUGGUUGCAAAGCUGAAACUUAAAGGAAUUGACGGAAGGGCACCACCAGGGGUGGAGCCUGCGGCUUAAUUUGACUCAACACGGGGAAACUCACCCGGCCCGGACACCGGAAGGAUUGACAGAUUGAGAGCUCUUUCUUGAUUCGGUGGGUGGUGGUGCAUGGCCGUUCUUAGUUGGUGGAGUGAUUUGUCUGGUUAAUUCCGAUAACGAACGAGACUCUAGCCUACUAAAUAGAUCGUCGGCUUACAAACGCUGAUGAGACUUCUUAGAGGGACAGGCGGCGAUUCAGCCGCACGAAACAGAGCAAUAACAGGUCUGUGAUGCCCUUAGAUGUCCGGGGCCGCACGCGCGCUACACUGAAGUGAUCAGCGUGCAUUUUCAGCCUACUCUGCCAAGAGUGGGAAACCCAAUGAACCUUCUUCGUGAUUGGGAUAGGAGAUUGUAAUUAUUCUCCUUGAACGAGGAAUUCCCAGUAAGCGCGAGUCAUAAGCUCGCGUUGAUUACGUCCCUGCCCUUUGUACACACCGCCCGUCGCUACUACCGAUUGAAUGUUUUAGUGAGGUCUUCAGACUGGCCGGCGCAGCUGCUCUCGUAGUAGCAGCGCUGUGUUUGGG
Molecule: ribosomal RNA, 693 nt
Filed under: uncultured eukaryote
Lineage: Eukaryota
Description: SSU rRNA
Rfam family: Eukaryotic small subunit ribosomal RNA
Source: RNAcentral